CCAUUCUUUCAUCUCGAUUUCCUCUCCUCUCUCUUCAUCAUCAAUUCACCAUCUUUCCCUGGCAGUGCCGGCAGUGCGCGAGGUCAUCUUGAUGGGCCGGCGGAGAUCGAUCAUCUUCUCCCUCACACCUGCCCCCUUCUCUCCGUAUUAAGCGGUGGGCAGAGCGGAGGAGGUGCUCGGCUCCCCAAGGCUAUUGGCAGCGCGGAGAAGGUGUUCGGCUUCCCAAGGCUGCUGGCGGCGCGGAGGAGGAGCUCGGCCCGCCGCCCCGUGCUUAUUUGCCGAGUGUUGCGAAGGGCUUCGCCGGGCUGGCCGUUGGCCGCCACGGCUACUGAAAGGCCGUGCGGGGAUCGAGGAGCAGCGCCAGGACGACGGCCGUCGGCCGAUGCCUCGCGAGGCCUACCGGGAGGAGCAGCGCCAAGGACAUAGUCCCAUGUCGGACAGACGGGACAGUUCAAGGCCUUGCCGCUGGGUGUUCGCGCUGCUGCUGGCAUACUCCCAAGUUGUGCCUCACGCUGGGAGCAGUCUCCGCCGAUUUGGCGGGUUGGGAGCCGGCUCCGCCACUUUGCCCUGUAGGACCCGUCGCUGUUCGCGAAGCCGCGGCCAGCAACGGCACAGGUAGUCCCCCCCGCGCGUGUGAAGCGGUGGUGGCGCUCUCCCUCUCUUCUGACAUGAUUUACACCUAGGGUAUGAUGUGACGUUCAAUGCUUUUUCACCCAAAUCAGAUCAAGGGGUUGCAGGCACGCGGCGCAUCAGUCAUGCUUCGGGCGCGAGUGGCUAUUAGGCACGGUCAGAGACGUCGAUCUCGAGCUUUGCACGGUGGUAGGAAGGCACAGUCAGGCCAUGGGCGACAGACGAGCGGUGCCGACCAGAGUUGUGUGCAGUUUCUGGUUCUGGCCGAGCUGAUUAUCUACCCAGGAUACCUGGGCCUUUCCACUUUGGCUGCUGGUUCUGGGUAGGCUACCAUUAAGGUUCAGCUCGCCGUCAUCAGUACGUAUUGAGAUGAGCCGAGAUUGUCGGUGCUUUGCGUUGUUCAAUUCUCCGAGAUUGUACUUCUGGUUGGAUCGUCCUAACUUCAUCCUUGAAGCCUGAACACCAGAUCCAGCUGCGAAUUUAACUUCACCACCGUCGGUUAUGUGGUCAGUGUUCUGCAUUCUAUUAGUGUCCACCCAUUAAUGAGGUAUGUAAUACAAUUUAAAGCAAUAUCAGAGCUGAUGCUUCGUCUAAGUGCAGAACAACAUUGUACUCACUUCUGAAUUUGUUUACACAUUGCUUAUCUUUUGAUUUCUAACUCACCUUGGCGUCGCCUUAGUAAUUUUACAAUAGAGGCUUCUUUUAUUCUUCAACUUGUGGCUACCACAAAGGCACGGCGUAUCACCAUCCGGUCUCAGGAAGAUCAUGGGCGCGGGUAUUUAUCUUGCUUUCAUAUCGUGAGGGAUGGCUUCACCCUAAAUCUCUGUUUUCCUGAAACUUUAUAUAUUCAAAAUAUCCCACUUAUGGUUUAUAGGUCUUUAGAGGCGCUUCUUUAAAUCAUUUGAUUUUCUUAGUCAUGUAAUGCCUAAUAUUAUAGUUAGGACUUCUAAGUCGUUGGAUAUGCAAAUUAUAAACAUCGAUUUUCCUGACAUCCUCUGUUCUCAUGUUAAUGAGAGGUGCAUUUUGGAUAAUUUUCAGGUAAUAAAUGUGUGGGAGCACAAGAGAAAAUUUUGCAUCCCCAUCCCUCUUGCAAAUAUCAUACUGUGCUCAUCAGGUAGUUUGUUUCCAUGGACAACUUCUGGCACGUAAGCUGCAAGUGAUGUAGACAAAGUAAGUCUAUUAAGAGAUAAAUAUAAAAUACAUGUCCCAUGUCUGGAAUUGUUUGGCCUUCCCAUGGUAAGCUUCUACAUAAUUAUAUACGUUGGCGUUUCCAUGAAUGGCAUGUUCUGGCAAGUUUGAAGUUGGAGCGAUAGUGUUAUUGUAAGAAACAGAAUCCAGCACCAUUAUUGAGGUAUGUCCUAGAAGAGUAAGUCCCUCUUUGUUCCCUGCUCUGCUCCUUGCUUAGUAUUACACAUCGGAUUGAAGUUCUAAAUCCUAGAUUUCAUAGAUGUACUGUUAGUGUUCUUUAUGCAUAUAGUGCAUUUCACAUUCUGUUCCCAUGAACAUUUGUGCGACUUAAGUUGUUCCUCUCUGUACUCAACAAACGUGAAUCAGGCAAAAUUUCUAUAUACCUAGAAGCCUUCAGGUACCCUGCAAUCUAAUUGACUGAUUAGACCUUAGAUUAACAAUACACGGCCUCCACAUUUCUUGUGUGUAUUGCAUUCUCCAUGAUUUUACAAAAUGUAAGAAAGCAGGGGAAAGACUCAUAGUUUGCAGGUAUUGCAUUCUGUUUUUGCACUAGGCUCAUAUGUUGCAAUGUACCUGGCUUGGUAUAUAUUGCGCUGCAUGGCUACAAAGAAACACGCUUAUUGUUUUGGACUGUACACUACUGAAUAUUCUCUUCCGGUCAAAUUUUUCUUCCCCUUCAGCAUGUCGUGUCGUAUUUUUCUUCCUUCUGACUGGUGAGUAGAUAUUUACAUAUACCAGUACUAUAACUGAGAUAGGAUUCUUAAUCUAUUCCAGCUAUGUCAAAGGGAAUAAUAUUUUUGAUUAUGUGCCACACCAUGCAAAUGGUUCUGUCUGCAUUUUGCGGGCAAAUAUGAGAGAAAUGCUUUGAAGCAUUGUUGUGCUUUGGUAGUGAUUGAUCUGUGUCUUUGGAACUGCGUUUGCAGUGUUUGUGAAGGGGCAAAUUACUCGGUGGUUUGACAGAGCCAAGUCACAGGAUCUUAGUAUUGACCGAGUAAACGCGUUCAGGAUGUUUCAAGCCCGCAGACACUAAUAAGGCAAGAUAAUGCCUUAUUAGUAUGCCAGAUCCCAACAUGGAGUUCAGGGCUGGCUGUCACCAACUCUGACCCUGCAGUUCAGAAACGGGAUCCUCACAAUGUGGAGACUUUGGAAGACGCGCAAGGAUGCCAUUUUCAAAAACUUGCCCCACACAGACAUGACCUGGUUCAAUCUAUCCUUGAAGAAGCCAAACCGUGGAUGAUCGCCGGUGCUAGGGCGUUACGCCGGCUUCCCCUGGAUGCUAUGCGCCCUGAUGACCCACCGGGACAAAACCUUCAGGACUAACAAAGUUAGCUUUGUACAGUUUUUUUUCCUUGCUUUCUCUGAAGUUUUUUCCUCUUCUUGAUGGUUUUUUAUCUAAUACACAAUGAGUUCGAGAAAAAAGUAAGGCAAGAUAAUACGGACACUUCUAUUUUGCAUUGUAAAUAUCGUUUAGUGGACUAUAAGUGGUGAGGACUUAUUCUUUGGCAUAUUGGCAAGUGAUUCUUUAUGGUGGUAUCCCAUCCUUUUCCCCUUAAUUACGAUGUCUAAUGUUUGAUCU
Non-coding RNA from Lolium perenne, 3394 nucleotides. The record is from RefSeq and is a predicted model, not a curated record. NCBI's taxonomy places the organism in Eukaryota, Viridiplantae, Streptophyta, Magnoliopsida, Poales, Poaceae.